GUCCAGCUAGCUCAGUCAGUAAAGCAUGAGACUCUUAAUCUCAUGGUAGUAGGAUCAGGACCCAUGUUGUAUG
Molecule: transfer RNA, 73 nt
Filed under: Mesocricetus auratus (golden hamster)
Lineage: Eukaryota; Metazoa; Chordata; Mammalia; Rodentia; Cricetidae
Rfam family: tRNA
About the family: Transfer RNA (tRNA) molecules are approximately 80 nucleotides in length. Their secondary structure includes four short double-helical elements and three loops (D, anti-codon, and T loops).
Source: Rfam by way of RNAcentral